GGUCAGCGGCGGACGGGAGAGUAACACGUGGGCAACCUGCCCGCAAGACCGGGAUAACUCCGGGAAACCGGAGCUAAUACCGGAUAACACCAAAGACCGCAUGGUCUUUGGUUGAAAGGCGGCUUCGGCUGUCACUUGCGGAUGGGCCCGCGGCGCAUUAGCUAGUUGGUGAGGUAACGGCUCACCAAGGCGACGAUGCGUAGCCGGCCUGAGAGGGUGACCGGCCACACUGGGACUGAGACACGGCCCAGACUCCUACGGGAGGCAGCAGUAGGGAAUCUUCCGCAAUGGACGAAAGUCUGACGGAGCGACGCCGCGUGAGCGAAGAAGGCCUUCGGGUCGUAAAGCUCUGUUGUGAGGGACGAAGGAGCGCCGUUUGAAUAAGGCGGCGCGGUGACGGUACCUCACGAGAAAGCCCCGGCUAACUACGUGCCAGCAGCCGCGGUAAUACGUAGGGGGCGAGCGUUGUCCGGAAUUAUUGGGCGUAAAGCGCGCGCAGGCGGUCCUUUAAGUCUGAUGUGAAAGCCCACGGCUCAACCGUGGAGGGUCAUUGGAAACUGGGGGACUUGAGUGCAGGAGAGGAGAGCGGAAUUCCACGUGUAGCGGUGAAAUGCGUAGAGAUGUGGAGGAACACCAGUGGCGAAGGCGGCUCUCUGGCCUGUAACUGACGCUGAGGCGCGAAAGCGUGGGGAGCAAACAGAUUAGAUACCCUGGUAGUCC
RNAcentral lists this ribosomal RNA (720 nucleotides) under Geobacillus sp. RNAcentral's name for it is "bacterial SSU rRNA". It matches the Rfam family "Bacterial small subunit ribosomal RNA", at positions 90 to 796 of the family's 1533-position model. Lineage: Bacteria; Bacillati; Bacillota; Bacilli; Caryophanales; Anoxybacillaceae. The record is from RNAcentral.